Callorhinus ursinus (northern fur seal) is the source of this 245-nucleotide non-coding RNA. NCBI's taxonomy places the organism in Eukaryota, Metazoa, Chordata, Mammalia, Carnivora, Otariidae. The record is from RefSeq and is a predicted model, not a curated record.
GUGGGAAAUAAGGAAGAAAGUUUGAAAAUAACAUCAAAACUGCUCUAAACCUCUUGGGUAGUAUCAAGGAAAGAAUCGCGCUGUACUGAAGACCCUCCUGUUUGGGGCCUACUCCAACACCCCACCUCCAUCACACACCAUAAGAAAUAACAAAAGACCAGUCCGAGAUAAAGACUGAGCAAAACUGCAGAAGAAUUUAGGAAUGUUUUUGCUCCUCUAGAAGGAAGCUGACCGCAGCUAAUAAG